Drosophila albomicans is the source of this 436-nucleotide long non-coding RNA. RefSeq lists it as uncharacterized. Lineage: Eukaryota; Metazoa; Arthropoda; Insecta; Diptera; Drosophilidae. The transcript has 3 exons. The record is from RefSeq and is a predicted model, not a curated record.
UAUAUAAAGUAGUAGUAUUAUAGUUAUUUGUAGUCUGAAAAUUAUACUUUGUUUUGUAUUUUUGUAUUUAAUUUCUCCGUCAAUAUUAUUGCAUAAUGGAUUAUAUCUAACGAUUUGUAAAUCAGCGGUUCGAAUAAAGCAAGAUGAAUGUGCAGAAAUCGCAAAGUUUUUGUAGCAAAUUUCACAAUGAUCACUGCAUUGUUAAUGUGUGUUUACUGUAUUCGUGCUCAACCACAGGGGGCUCUUAUGUUGAAGGGUUGCAUUAUCUAAUAUCUAAUGUUGCUGCUAUCGAUUAUGCGAUGAAAGCACAGUGUUUAUUGGCUGCAACGAAUGGGACAAAACUUAUCUAACGAACAACUUGAAUCAUCUAUCAGAGAUGAGAGCACUUUGUCGCCCUCGAUGGUCAUUGCAGCAACAUAACAAGAUGAUGAGAUGA